AGCACCCCUACGCAUCCGUCGUACUCGACGGGAUCCACGCACAAAAGAAUAGAAGAAAGGUUGCUAAAAACUGCUCACACACUGCACAUUUAUGCGAAGGGAAGGUAUUAGCACCCCUACGCAUCCGUCGUACUCGACGGGAUCCACGCACAAAAGAAUAGAAGAAAGGUUGCUAAAAACUGCUCACACACUGCACAAGGCUGGAAGGAAACACAGGAAGACAA
RNAcentral lists this long non-coding RNA (224 nucleotides) under Lathyrus oleraceus (garden pea). Its description in RNAcentral is "Pisum sativum (pea) long non-coding RNA (PSAT_LNC007114)". The record is from RNAcentral. Lineage: Eukaryota; Viridiplantae; Streptophyta; Magnoliopsida; Fabales; Fabaceae.